Molecule: small RNA, 1038 nt
Filed under: Pongo abelii (Sumatran orangutan)
Lineage: Eukaryota; Metazoa; Chordata; Mammalia; Primates; Hominidae
Description: retained intron
Source: RNAcentral
CUUCCCACGCGACUUCCUGCGGGAAACAUGGCGGCAGUGAGCGGAGUCCGCUGGCUGACCCGAGCGCUGGUCUCCGCCGGGAACCCUGGGGCAUGGAGAGGUCUGAGUACCUCGGCCGCGGCGCACGCUGCAUCGCGGAGCCAGGCCGAGGACGUGAGGGUGGAGGGCUCCUUUCCCGUGACCAUGCUUCCGGGAGACGGUGUGGGGCCUGAGCUGAUGCACGCCGUCAAGGAGGUGUUCAAGGCUGCCGCUGUCCCAGUGGAGUUCCAGGAGCACCACCUGAGUGAGGUGCAGAAUAUGGCAUCUGAGGAGAAGCUGGAGCAGGUGCUGAGUUCCAUGAAGGAGAACAAAGUGGCCAUCAUUGGAAAGAUUCAUACCCCGAUGGAGUAUAAGGGGGAGCUAGCCUCCUAUGAUAUGCGGCUGAGGUAGGUGGUCUGGGUGGAGUGAAUGGUUGAGAGGUGCCAGGGCACCAGGAGCAGAGCUGAUGGCCCUGCCCACCCUCAGGCGUAAGUUGGACUUAUUUGCCAACGUAGUCCAUGUGAAGUCACUUCCUGGGUAUAUGACUCGGCACAACAAUCUAGACCUGGUGAUCAUUCGAGAGCAGACAGAAGGGGAGUACAGCUCUCUGGAACAUGAGGUGAGGCCCCAGAAACUGGGGGAGGGCAAGGAUGAAGAUGGGAGAGAGAUGGAGCUCCUUGUUUCCCUUCCCAGUGUCACCUAGCUGCUGCUCUCUUCUUACCCAGAGUGCAAGGGGUGUGAUUGAGUGUUUGAAGAUUGUCACACGAGCCAAGUCUCAGCGGAUUGCAAAGUUCGCCUUUGACUAUGCCACCAAGAAGGGGCGGAGCAAGGUCAUUGCUGUCCACAAGGCCAACAUCAUGUGAGGGACAUGGCUUUGUGUAGGAUGGGUUCCUGGGAAGGUAGCCCCUGUACUUUCUUGGCUGAUUCUGUCCCCUUUGGCCCAUGGACAGGAAACUUGGGGAUGGGUUGUUCCUGCAGUGCUGUGAGGAAGUUGCUGAACUGUACCCCAAAAUCAAAUUU